RNAcentral lists this small RNA (711 nucleotides) under Pongo abelii (Sumatran orangutan). Its description in RNAcentral is "retained intron". Lineage: Eukaryota; Metazoa; Chordata; Mammalia; Primates; Hominidae. The record is from RNAcentral.
GUUGGAGUGGCACAGACUGGAUCUGGGAAAACAUUGUCUUAUUUGCUUCCUGCCAUUGUCCACAUCAAUCAUCAGCCAUUCCUAGAGAGGGGCGAUGGGCCUAUUUGUUUGGUGCUGGCACCAACUCGGGAACUGGCCCAACAGGUGCAGCAAGUAGCUGCUGAAUAUUGUAGAGCAUGUCGCUUGAAGUCUACUUGUAUCUAUGGUGGUGCUCCUAAGGGACCACAAAUACGUGAUUUGGAGAGAGGUAUGUAACGAAAAGGGUUUUAUUUGUCAUUGGUGCUAAAUAUCCUAGGUAUUGUAGUUACGCUUACGUGUUUAAUUAAAGGUGUGGAAAUCUGUAUUGCAACACCUGGAAGACUGAUUGACUUUUUAGAGUGUGGGAAAACCAAUCUGAGAAGAACAACCUACCUUGUCCUUGAUGAAGCAGAUAGAAUGCUUGAUAUGGGCUUUGAACCCCAAAUAAGGAAGAUUGUGGAUCAAAUAAGAGUAAGUGUCCUUUGAAAUAUGUGGUCAAACUGAAUUCUGUUUUCACUCUUAGAGUCUGAUACUAAUUUUUCCCCCCAAAAUCUAUUAGCCUGAUAGGCAAACUCUAAUGUGGAGUGCGACUUGGCCAAAAGAAGUAAGACAGCUUGCUGAAGAUUUCCUGAAAGACUAUAUUCAUAUAAACAUUGGUGCACUUGAACUGAGUGCAAACCACAACAUUCUUCA